UUUUUUGUAAGUUAGCUAACACAUCUUGUAAGCAUAAAUAGGUGCAGGUAUGUACAUGUAAUGUUGGAAGUAUUCGCAGAUCUUAUUGAAACUGAAUAAUUAAAUUAUUUUAUUUUAAAUAGUUUCCAAAUACCAGUUAGGAUAGGCAAUUAAGUAAUUUAUAUUGAAUUACUCUAUACUGUCUGCUGUGAGUUGCCUCCAGGGUAUCAUAUGGUUCCAUGGUACUGUAUCAUGUUGGCCUUAUGCCAGUCUUCAAUACUUGAUGGAUUUCCUUAACGUACUGGAAGGGGCAGAUUCCAGAAUUGUUCAUUAAAGUUGAGGUGCCACUGUGUAUGUAAUGUUUCAUGGAUAGCCAGCUUUUAAUUCAUGUGUUAGGAAGAGAAAUUCACUUACACUUGCUCAUUUUCACAACUUCGUUGUGGGAGGCUGAUUGGUGGCGGUACCUCUGGCUGCAAAAUGGCCAGUUAAUGUUUUCGUCGGGGUGCCACAGCGAGUCGGUACGUCGCCGAUCAAACCUCGGCACCACAGCCUCCUAACAUGCUUAAUCCAGCUCAGGCAGCUCCUCCAACAUCUUCAUACCUCCCAGCUUCUGGGCCAAAUCCAAGUAGUGUUCCUAAUCCCCCACCUUCAGGUAUGGGAGGAGCAGCACCCUUCUACCAUGGCGCUCCCCCAUCGGGGCCUGUGUACGGGGAUCCACUUCCAGCCAAGACUCCUGCAGCUCUUGAUAACACCACUCCACGAGGAUGGAAUGAUCCUCCACCAAUCUCAGGGUCACGUAAGGAUUUCGAUGGUGAUAUUAGGCUUGGUGGAGGCCAUUCGGGUGACAAGAGGUUGCUGAAACUAAAACAGGU
Macrobrachium nipponense is the source of this 851-nucleotide long non-coding RNA. RefSeq lists it as uncharacterized. The transcript has 3 exons. The record is from RefSeq and is a predicted model, not a curated record. NCBI's taxonomy places the organism in Eukaryota, Metazoa, Arthropoda, Malacostraca, Decapoda, Palaemonidae.